CCUACGGGAGGCAGCAGUGGGGAAUUUUGGACAAUGGGCGAAAGCCUGAUCCAGCAAUGCCGCGUGAGUGAAGAAGGCCUUCGGGUUGUAAAGCUCUUUUGUCAGGGAAGAAACGGUGUUUUCUAAUACAGAAUGCUAAUGACGGUACCUGAAGAAUAAGCACCGGCUAACUACGUGCCAGCAGCCGCGGUAAUACGUAGGGUGCAAGCGUUAAUCGGAAUUACUGGGCGUAAAGCGUGCGCAGGCGGUUUUGUAAGUCUGACGUGAAAUCCCCGGGCUCAACCUGGGAAUUGCGUUGGAGACUGCAAGGCUAGAGUUUGGCAGAGGGGGGUAGAAUUCCACGUGUAGCAGUGAAAUGACGUAGAUAUGUGGAGGAACACCGAUGGCGAAGGCAGCCCCCUGGGUCAAGACUGACGCUCAUGCACGAAAGCGUGGGGAGCAAACAGGAUUAGAUACCCUGGUAGUCCACGCCCUAAACGAUGUCUACUAGCUGUCGGGUCUUAAUUGACUUGGUAACGCAGCUAACGCGUGAAGUAGACCGCCUGGGGAUACGGUCGCAAGGAUUAAAAACUCAAAANAGAAGUAGAGUAGAGAGUAGAGAGGACGACGACGAGGGAGAGG
RNAcentral lists this ribosomal RNA (621 nucleotides) under uncultured bacterium. RNAcentral's name for it is "bacterial SSU rRNA". It matches the Rfam family "Bacterial small subunit ribosomal RNA", at positions 338 to 950 of the family's 1533-position model. The record is from RNAcentral.